RNAcentral lists this transfer RNA (85 nucleotides) under Methylophilus sp. Its description in RNAcentral is "tRNA-Leu". It matches the Rfam family "tRNA". Rfam says of the family: Transfer RNA (tRNA) molecules are approximately 80 nucleotides in length. Their secondary structure includes four short double-helical elements and three loops (D, anti-codon, and T loops). The record is from RNAcentral. RNAcentral also lists the same sequence under 16 other names. Lineage: Bacteria; Pseudomonadati; Pseudomonadota; Betaproteobacteria; Nitrosomonadales; Methylophilaceae.
GCCCAGAUGGCGAAAUUGGUAGACGCGCUAGUUUCAGGUACUAGUGUUUAACGACGUGGAGGUUCGAGUCCUCUUCUGGGCACCA